Molecule: non-coding RNA, 5172 nt
Organism: Callithrix jacchus (white-tufted-ear marmoset)
Lineage: Eukaryota; Metazoa; Chordata; Mammalia; Primates; Cebidae
Source: RefSeq, a predicted model, not a curated record
CAUAUAUAAAUGUAUAUAAUGAGAGGGUACAGGGAAGAUUUUGUUACAUGUGUAUUCUGAGUAAUGAUCAAAUUGGGUUAUUUAGCGUCUCUUCACCUGGUAUAGUUAUGAUAUUUUUGUGUGGUAGCAACAUUCAGAAUAUUUUCUUCUAGCUACUUUGAGACAUAUACAUUUGUGUUAAGGCCAGUCACCCUGCUGUGGAAUAGAAGACCAGAAUUGAUUGCUGUCAUCUGAGGAAAGUUUUUACCCAUUACUGAUUCCUUCCCAGACCCUCUCCAUUUUCCCAGCAACCUCUAGUAACCCCUAUUGAACUUUCUGCUCCUAGGAGUUGAAGAUGUUUUCAGUCUGCAUGCCUAGGAUCAUGUGGAAUGGGACUUUCUCUACCAGGCUCAUUCGUUGGACCUGAUGUUCUACAGGUUUCUUCAUGUGGCUGCAGAUGGCAGGAUUCCCAGAGCUUCAUGGCUGGAACAUACUCCAUGGUGUAUCUGUACAGCAGUUUUUCAUCCCUGCAGCUGCGGGUGGACAGGUCAUACAUGAUGUCCUCCAAGUUCAACAGCGUGGCUCCAAAUGAUGACAUUUCAUUCCAGUUUUCUAGCUGAAGACGAUUCUAUUUGUGCACAUACACCAGGUAUCCCUUCAUGUGUGGAUGGGCAGGUUUUUCCACGUGGCCGCAAGUGACGAGAUUUCACCCAUUUCUACGAUUAAAGAAUAUUCUGCUCUGGAUGUAUAUUGCAGUUUCUUCAUCCCUUCACAAUGGAAGAACAGGUAGGUGUAUUUCCUAUCUUGGCUAUCGUGAGUCCUGCAGUACGGAGGGUAAGGCAGGUAUCUCUUCCACGUAGGAAUGGAAUGAUGGCUGGAUGAAAUGGGCAUUUUUACUUCGUUGGAGGCACUUCCAGCUGUUUUUCGUAGUGUGUGUAGACACUGACAUUCCCACCAAUAGUGUAUGAGAAGAGUUUCCCCUUCUGAAAGUCUGUACUAGUUGUUUCCUUUUAAAGUUUUCUUUCUGUUUUAGGUAGCAUUCAUUCGAUGUGGAUGGAAGCGGCAUCUCAGUGCAGGUUUCCUUGACAUUCUUGUGAGGAUUAGCGCUUUUGAGAGACUUUUCUUUUACCUGUGAGUCAGUUUCCCAUCUGCUUCGCAGACACGUCUGUUCAGGUCCUUUGCCCAGACUUAGCUUGGGUGUUUGUUUUUGUUUCCCCCACAUGGUAGUGUUAGUGUCUUUCACAGAUUUUAUAACGACCCCUUUCAAAGACAGAAUUUCCAUAGUUUUCUUUCAGUCUGUGAGGCACCUUCUCUUCUGUUCACUGUUUUCUUUUCACAGCAUAAGAUCUGAUGUUUUCCGUAGUUCCACCUGUUUACAUAUUAGUGGUGACUUCCGUGUGCAGUUAAAAACAGUGAAAAAGAUUGCCAAUCCAUGGCAUUGGCUAUGUUUUUUUCCUUCUAAUUUUCUUUUUCUUUUUAUAUUUCACAUUUUGCAACUUGUGUGCAUAGAUUAGUUUUCUAAACUAUGUGCUUACCUGUUGUUUCCUGAGGGAAGGAAAUGGUUUCAAGAUUGAGUUUAGGUCUUUCAUGUAAUUUACAUCGAUUUUUGUCCUAUUUCAGUGUUUUUCUUGUGGUUAUCCAGUUUGCUCAAAAUCAUUUAUUCUUUUCCCAUUGUGUCUAUUUGUGUUGUGUUGAAAAAUGUGUUCAGUGUACAUUCAUUUGGGUGGCAUGUGGGACUCCCUCAUUCUGUCCGUUGGGUAGCCUUUCUGUUUUUAUGCCAGUGGCAGGUUGUUUGGGUAAAUAGAGGUUUUCGUUAUUUUAUCAUUAUGCUCACUCAGUGCCUUUAGUGUCUUGCAUAUGUUAGAAAACAGUUCUUUUCAGAUACAUGAUUUUCUAUAAUUUUAUCCAAAUCUGUAGGGUGCCUUUUUUUUGGGUUCACCGUUUUCUCCUUGUUUAUAAAUUUUAAAGUUCCUUUGUCUAACCUGUUUAUAUUUGCUUUUGUUAGCAGGGAUUUUUGUUUCCCAUUGGGAAAUAAAGCGAGCGAGAUGGCGAAAAUGUUGUAUUAUUUAUGGGUAUAUUCUUCCUAAUUUUUCCUGUCUGCAGCUGGUGUACACAGAUUCAAGUUUUCCCAAAAUAGACACUCACCCUAUGUAUUUUCCUGAGAGCUUGUUAAGUUUCAGGAUUAAACUUAGGUGCUGAGUUGGUUUUGUGUUGAUGUUUGUGUUCUUGUGCAACGUAAGGGUCUCACUUCAGUCCUCUGCACGUGAAUACCCAGGUUUCUCAACCUGGGUGCCUUUGGUGUGUUUCUGAAAAAUGUGUUUAUAUCAUUUUGGUCUGAUUGUCUGGCUCCUUCAUUUGGUCCAUUUGGUUACCUUUCUGUGUUUAUGUCACUAAUGGAUGGAAAGGGUCAGGGUAAGUUUUGUUUUCUUUUUUCUUUUUCUGUAGCUUUCCACCUUAAUUUGGUAAAAGAGUACCUACAUUUACUUCGAUUAACAAUAUUGUGCACACAGUACUACUAGUCCGGUGGUUCAUCAGUUGAUCAUCUAUCUCAACUGGGGUAAAUGUUAGUGAAGUGAUAGAAAUAACAAAGACAUUUAUCAAAAGAGGGCUCUCAUGCACAAAUAAGUUCCAGUAUCAAAAAUUCAGUAGGCUGGGCACAGUGACUCACACCUAUAAUCCCAGCACUUUGGGAGGCCGAGGUAGGCAAAUCACCUGAAGUUAGGAGUUUGAGACCAGCCGGGUCAACAUGGUGAAACCCCAUUUCUACUAAAAAUUGAAAUAUGAGCCGGGCGUGGUGGCACACACCUGUAAUCCCAGCUAUUCAAGAGCUGAGGCUGGAGGAUAGCUUUAACCCGGGAGGCGGAGGUUGCAAUGAGCCGAGAUUGUGCCAUUGCACUCCAGCCUGUACAGAGUGAGACCCCAUCUCAAAAAAAAUAAAUAAAUAAUUCAGUAAACAAAUGUGACUUAAACUAUAUAAGAGUUAUAAAAUGGUUAAAAAAUCCCCCCCCCAAAUUUUGGAAGGACAUAUAAGAGUGAUAUAAGAUCACUAACUAGAUUGAGACACAUAGAAUACUACAGACAAAUAGGACAUAGGGAUAUAAAAGUAAAAGGUAUCAGUGAUAGAGUUGGUAAGAAAAAAAAAAAAAAACAGUAAUACUUGACUUACUAAGAAAUUUGUCUAGGGUUUGGCUGUUUUUCAACUGUGGGAAAAUCCCAAAAGCCAGGUGCAGUGGUGCACAACUGUAGUCCCAAAUACUCCAGAAGUUGAGGCAGGAAGAUUCCUUGAGCCAGGAAUUCAAGGCUGUAGUGUGAAACAUGGUGCCGGUGAGUCGCCACUCUCUCACUUCAGCCUGGGCAACAUAGCAUGACUGUGUCUCUCAGAAAGAUUACAGCAAUUAUAAAACAUUUGUUUCAGCGGAAAUGUAACUUUUUUGUGUCUCAUUAUUUAAAAAAUUCAGUCAGUGCACUUUAACUUAUAAUUCUGAUGGUGUUUUUAUGAUCUUAACACCCAGAAAAGUAAUAGAGGCCCAUGCUGAAUGAGGCCUCAGCCUUCUAUCUUUACCUGGGUUCAUGUCCCAGCAUAUGAUAGAAGAGCAAAUCUAAUGCUUUUAAGAAAGCGUUGCAGCAGCUAAAAGAGAACAAAUUAAAUGGAUGUUCUAACAUAAAUUACAAGCUAGCUAGCUGAUUAAAAACAUCAAUAUAUUGCUUUGUGUUGUUUCUCUGAGUAUACCAUAUCUGUGUGCCCAUGAAACAUUGGUAUGCCUCCAUUGAGACUUGUUUUCUCUCCUUAUUUAUGUAAAAGAUAACACACAAUUUAGUGGCAUCAAGUAAAGUGACAGAACAUACGAUCUUUUGGUUUUCCAUUUCUGAGUUACUUCACUUAGAAGAAUGGCCUCCAGCUCCCUCCAAGUUGCCGCAAAAGUCAUGAUUUCAUCCCUUUUGAUGUCUGAGGAGUAGCCCAUGGUGUGUGUGCACCACAGUUCCUGUAUGCACUCAGCAGUCAAUGGGCACUUAGGUUGGUUCCAUAUCUUUGCAGUUGCAGAUUGUGCUGUAAACAUGCAUUUGCACGUGUCUUUGUGUCUUUUUUCAUGUGACUACUUCUUUUCCUUUGGGUAGAUACCCAGUAGUGGGAUUGCUGGAUGAAUGGGAGUUCUGCUUUUACUUCUUUAAGGACUCUCCAUGCUGUUUUCCAUGCUGGUUGUGCUAAUUUACAUUCCCACCAGUCGUGUAAAAGUGUUCCCUCUUCACAUUCAAGCUGAGUUGGUUUUCGGCUUUUUAAUGGUGGCAGUUCUUGCAGGAGUAAGGUUGUAUCUCACUGCGGUUUUCAUUUGCAUUUCCUUGAUUAGUGAUGUUAGUGCCCUUUAAAUAGAGACUUCAGUAGUUUCCUUGUUUCAUUCUCCAUAUGAGACCCCAACAAGACAGCUAAAUUUCUAUUUAUUUUAAUUUUGACAUGAAUGCUCCCUCUUGCCCAGGCUGGAGUGCAGUGGCACGAUCUUUGCUCACUGCAACCUCUGCCUUCUGAGUUCAAGCGGUUCUCCCGUCUCAGCCUCCCGAGUAGUUGGGACUACAGGUGCCUGCCACCAUGCCCAGCUAAUUGUUCUAUUUUUAGUAGAGACAGGGUUUCACCAUAUUGGUCAGGCUGGUCUCCAACUCCUGAUGUCAGGUGAUCCACCCACCUCAGCCUCCCAAGGUGCUGGGAAUACAGGCAUGAGCCACUGCUCCCAGCCGAGCUAACAACAAGACAUCUAUCGAUGAACCCUCACCAGACACCAAAUUUUUUGGUGAGUUGAUGUGAAAUUCCCAGCCUCCAGAACUCUAAUAAUGUCUAUUUAUAACUCACCCAGUUUAUGACAUUUAGUUACAGCAGCCUGAAUGGGCUAAAACGGUAUGUGUGUAAUUACCUUCUUAGCACUGCGUUUGCUCGAAUCUGUAAGUUUUGGUAUGUUAUGUUUUUUAUUUCUUUUAUCUCAAGAUAAUUUCUGACUUUUCUUGUGAUUUCUUUUUUGAUACAUUGGCUAGUUAAGAGUAUGGGGUUUCGUUUUUCUUUUCUUUUUUUCUAUUGAGACAGGGUCUCGCUCUGUCACCCAGGCUGGAUGGCAGUGGUGCAAUCUCUGCUCACUGCAGCCUCCCUCUGACUUCCAGGUUCAAGUGACUUUCAUGCUUUAGCCUCCCAAGUAGCUGUGAUUACAGGUG